CUCCAGUAGUCAUAUGCUUGUCUCAAAGAUUAAGCCAUGCAUGUGUAAGUACAAGCCGACUUAAGGCGAAACCGCGAAUGGCUCAUUAAAUCAGCUAUGAUUCAUUGGAUCUGUAAACCCACUUACUUGGAUAACUGUGGUAAUUCUAGAGCUAAUACAUGCACCACGUCUCUGACCGCAAGGGAAGAGCGCUUUUAUUAGUUCAAAACCGGUCGGGCCUCGGUCCGUAACCCCCCUGUGAUGACUCUGAAUAACUUUGAGCUGAGCGCACGGUCUCCGCACCGGCGCCGCAUCUUUCAAGUGUCUGCCUUAUCAGCUUUCGAUUGUAGGUUAUGCGCCUACAAUGGCUAUAACGGGUAACGGGGAAUCAGGGUUCGAUUCCGGAGAGGGAGCCUGAGAAACGGCUACCACAUCUAAGGAAGGCAGCAGGCACGCAAAUUACCCACUCCCGGCACGGGGAGGUAGUGACGAAAAAUAACGAUGCGAGACUCAUCCGAGGCCUCGCAAUCGGAAUGAGUACACUUUAAAUCCUUUAACGAGGAUCUAUUGGAGGGCAAGUCUGGUGCCAGCAGCCGCGGUAAUUCCAGCUCCAAUAGCGUAUAUUAAAGUUGUUGCAGUUAAAAAGCUCGUAGUUGGAUUUCAGUUCUGGACUGACGGUUCACCGCCCGGUGCACACUGUCACGCUCCGAACAGCCACGAAAGCCCGCUGGCUCGCACGGGGUGCUCUUCAUCGAGUGUCCCGCGUGGCCGGCAGAGUUUACUUUGAAAAAAUUAGAGUGCUCAGAGCAGGCUACACUNANGGCCUGAAUGCCUAUGCAUGGAAUAAUGGAAUAGGACCUCGGUUCUAUUUUGUCGGUUUUCUGAACCCGAGGUAAUGACUAAUAGGAACAGGCGGGGGCAUUCGUAUUGCGACGCUAGAGGUGAAAUUCUUGGACCGUCGCAAGACGAACUACUGCGAAAGCAUUUGCCAAGGAUGUUUUCAUUAAUCAAGAACGAAAGUUAGAGGUUCGAAGGCGAUCAGAUACCGCCCUAGUUCUAACCAUAAACGAUGCUGACCAGCGAUCCGCCGGCGUUAUUCCCAUGACCCGGCGGGCAGCUUCCGGGAAACCAAAGUCUUUGGGUUCCGGGGGAAGUAUGGUUGCAAAGCUGAAACUUAAAGGAAUUGACGGAAGGGCACCACCAGGAGUGGAGCCUGCGGCUUAAUUUGACUCAACACGGGGAACCUCACCAGGCCCAGACACCGGAAGGAUUGACAGAUUGAGAGCUCUUUCUCGAUUCGGUGGGUGGUGGUGCAUGGCCGUUCUUAGUUGGUGGAGCGAUUUGUCUGGUUAAUUCCGAUAACGAACGAGACUCUGGCCUACUAACUAGUCGACGGAUCUCCAGCAAUUGGUGUCCAGUNCGCAACUUC
Molecule: ribosomal RNA, 1408 nt
Filed under: Symethis corallica
Lineage: Eukaryota; Metazoa; Arthropoda; Malacostraca; Decapoda; Symethidae
Description: SSU rRNA
Rfam family: Eukaryotic small subunit ribosomal RNA
Source: RNAcentral